Molecule: ribosomal RNA, 301 nt
Filed under: uncultured bacterium
Lineage: Bacteria
Description: partial 16S ribosomal RNA
Rfam family: Bacterial small subunit ribosomal RNA
Source: RNAcentral
CAGUCGCCGCGGUAAUACGGAGGGUGCAAACGUUAUCCGGAUUCACUGGGUUUAAAGGGUGCGUAGGUGGGCAGGUAAGUCAGUGGUGAAAUCUCUGGGCUUAACCCUGGAAUUGCCUUUAAGACUGCCGAGCUAGUAGGUGAGAGAGGUGAGUGGAAUUCCGAGUGUAGAGGUGAAAUUCGUAGAUAUUCGGAAGAACACCAGUGGCGAAGGCGGCUCACUGGACGCGUAUUGACGCUGAGGUGCGAAAGCGUGGGGAGCAAACAGGAUUAGAUACCCCCGUAGUCCCUGUCUCUUAUAC